Molecule: ribosomal RNA, 367 nt
Filed under: uncultured organism
Description: bacterial LSU rRNA
Rfam family: Bacterial large subunit ribosomal RNA
Source: RNAcentral
CUUUACUGUAACUUGAAAUUGAAAUUGGACUUUAUUCGCGCAGUAUAGGUGGGAGGCGUUGAUUAUAAUCUUGUGGGAUUAUUGGAGCCAUCAGUGAGAUACCACUCUUGUAAUGUUAGAUUUCUAACUUUGAAUCAUGAUCUGGUCAAAGAACAGUUUCAGGCGGGCAGUUUGACUGGGGCGGUCGCCUCCUAAACGGUAACGGAGGCGUACAAAGGUUUCCUCUGAACGGGUAGAAAUCGUAUCUAGAGUGUGAAGGCAUAAGGAAGCUUGACUGUGAGACCUACAAGUCGAGCAGGGACGAAAGUCGGUCUUAGUGAUCUGACGGUACUGAGUGGAAAGGCCGUCACUCAACGGAUAAAAGUUA